RNAcentral lists this transfer RNA (85 nucleotides) under Alphaproteobacteria bacterium. RNAcentral describes it as "tRNA-Leu". It matches the Rfam family "tRNA". From Rfam's summary of the family: Transfer RNA (tRNA) molecules are approximately 80 nucleotides in length. Their secondary structure includes four short double-helical elements and three loops (D, anti-codon, and T loops). The record is from RNAcentral. Lineage: Bacteria; Pseudomonadati; Pseudomonadota; Alphaproteobacteria.
GCCCGGGUGGCGGAAUGGCAGACGCAGCGGCUUGAGGGGCCGUGGACCCGGACGGGUCAUGGGAGUUCGACUCUCCCCCCGGGCA